GAUGAACGCUGGCGGCGUGCCUAAUACAUGCAAGUCGAACGAACCGACCAGGACCUUUCUCCUCUGAUGUUGGCGGCGGACGGGUGAGUAACAUGUGGUUAACCUACCUCUCAGACUGGGGUAACUUCGGGGAACCGGAGCUUAUACCGGAUAACUUGUUGCACCUCAUUGUUCAACAGUUGAAUACGGUAUUGCUUUCACUUAUAGAUGACUCAGCGCCGCAUUCACAAGUUGGUAAGGUAACUGCUUACCAACGCAACGACGCGAAGCCGACCUGAGAGGGUGAUCGGCCACACGGGAACUGAGAAACGGUCCCGACUCCUGCGGGAGGAGGCAGUAGGGAAUCUUCCGCAAGGGGGGAAAGCCUGACGGAGCAACGUCGCGGGAGGGAAGAAGGUCUUAGGAUCGGAAAGCUCUGUAAUUAGGGAAGAACAAAAGUUUAAGUAACCAGGCACGUAUUGACGGUACCUAAACAGAAAGCCCCGGCUAACUACGUG
RNAcentral lists this ribosomal RNA (497 nucleotides) under uncultured bacterium. Its description in RNAcentral is "partial 16S ribosomal RNA". It matches the Rfam family "Bacterial small subunit ribosomal RNA", at positions 28 to 507 of the family's 1533-position model. The record is from RNAcentral.